UCCCCGUCAAUUCAUUUGAKUUUAACCUUGCGGCCGUACUCCCCAGGCGGUCGACUUAACGCGUUAGCUCCCGGAAGCCACGCCUCAAAGGCCACACUUCCAAGUCGACAUCGUUUACGGCGUGGACUACCAGGGCAUCUAAUCCUGUUUGCUCCCCCACGCUUUCGCACCUGAGCGUCAGUCUUCGUCCAGGGGGCCGCCUUCGCCACCGGUAUUCCUCCAGAUCUCUACGCAUUUCACCGCUACACCUGGAAUUCUACCCCCCUCUACGAGACUCAAGCUUGCCAGUAUCAGAUGCAGUUCCCAGGUUGAGCCCGGGGAUUUCACAUCUGACUUAACAAACCACCUGCGUGCGCUUUACGCCCAGUAAUUCCGAUUAACGCUUGCACCCUCCGUAUUACCGCGGCUGCUGGCACGGAGUUAGCCGGUGCUUCUUCUGCGGGUAACGUCAAUGAGCAAAGGUAUUAACUUUACUCCCUUCCUCCCCGCUGACAGUACUUUACAACCCGAAGGCCUUCUUCAUACACGCGGCAUGGCUGCAUCAGGCUUGCGCCCAUUGUGCAAUAUUCCCCACUGCUGCCUCCCGUAGGAGUCUGGACCGUGUCUCAGUUCCAGUGUGGCUGGUCAUCCUCACAGACCAGCUAGGGAUCGUCGCCUAGGUGAGCCGUUACCCCACCUACUAGCUAAUCCCAUCUGGGCACAUCCGAUGGCAAGAGGCCCGAAGGUCCCCCUUUUUGGUCUUGCGACGUUAUGCGGUAUUAGCUACCGUUUCCAGUAGUUAUCCCCCUCCAUCAGGCAGUCUCCCAGACAUUACUCACCCGUCCGCCACUCGUCAGCAAAGAAGCAAGCUUCUUCCUGUUACCGUUCGACUUGCAUGUGUUAGGCCUGCCGCCAGCGUUCAAUCUGAGCCAGAAUCAAACUCU
RNAcentral lists this ribosomal RNA (923 nucleotides) under uncultured Enterobacterales bacterium. RNAcentral describes it as "partial 16S ribosomal RNA". Lineage: Bacteria; Pseudomonadati; Pseudomonadota; Gammaproteobacteria; Enterobacterales. The record is from RNAcentral.